CACCGGACAUCCGGCAGAUUCACGGAGGCUGUAAUCAGCCGAUUGGGCGCAGCUGUGCCUAGUUGAAGAGAUCGCCGGGCAAUUGGAUGAUUAUAGUACAGAGAGGAGUAUAUAAAGCACAGUUAGAACACAGUUAGGAGUGCUUAGUGUGUGCUGGGAAACGGAGCUGUGCUCAUUGUUGGACGUGGUGGCUGUCUGUGGUUCUCUCUCUCUCUCUCGUUGCAGUCUUGAUUGUGGAUCUGCUGGAGUAAACAGGAAAAUCCUAUGGGUAAAAAGGAACUUGUUCUAACCAAUAUUGAAGGAGUAAAGCAGGAAGAAAAUUUACCUUCUGGUACAACGUAAACAAAGGCUAUUCGCCGUGAGUAUACCCUUUUUGUGUGGAGUAACUGGCAAAAGUUAACUUGUGUAACUAUUGGAAACCUCCAGGAGAAGGAGGGCGGCCCUACCCCUAUAAGAGUGUGGUGGGCGAGCCGUGAGAAGUCCAACUUCAAACAGCCACCGCAACGAGACUUAUUGUGGUCGUAUUUCCCAUCGCCUUAUCGUAGCCCAAGCGCAGUGGAGGACACCGGGCGCUUCCCUUGUUGUGGUGCACUUAUAGUGUGGUGAGUGAGACUGUGUAAUAAAUCUUUUUUCACGUUUGGAGUGGUGCUGUGUAUAUUGCUGUGGGUUGCUGUGUGUCUUGUAGACGAAGCCCCGCAUCAUCCAAUUUCUUCCACUGGGCAGAGGACGGAGAGGCCAACGACUACAGAAAUCACUGUUACUAUAAGUAGUGUGCUGUUUGGAGUGCGAAGGGACGCAGACUAAGAGCUGUCCGUGACCGUGAGUAAACCAUUGGAAAACAUUUCGUGGUGUGAACUUACCUGUGUCUGUUUUCGUCGCAGAGUUAGAGGCGAAAGGGUCCGCCGCCCCGUGGUCUCUACGAAAAGGGCGCCCCCGUCUAGGAAUCGAUCGGCCUAUGGGCAUUGGAGAUAGGGCAGCGCUCGACCCGGUGAGGUGGUGUGUGACCUUCGCCCCUCUGCUGACCUACGGAGGAGAACCAUAACUACCCAGAAAGCUGUAGACAGCAGAGCCGCGGCCACCUGUGGAGAGAGAGAGAACGAGAGUGAAUCAUUGAAGAGCAAACUGUGAACGUGAUACCUACCCAGAAAGCUGUAAACAGCAGAGCCGGUGAGAAAUACUUGAAGUCGCAGUAACAGUGUCUUUGUGUCCUAGCGACCACCUGUGGAGAGAGAGAGAACGAGAGUGAAUCAUUGAAGAGCAAACUGUGAACGUGAUACUUACCCAGAAAGCUGUAAACAGCAGAGCCGCGGCCACCUGUGGAGAGAGAGAGAACGAGAGUGAAUCAUUGAAGAGCAAACUGUGAACGUGAUACCUACCCAGAAAGCUGUAAACAGCAGAGCCGCGGCCACCUGUGGAGAGAGAGAGAACGAGAGUGAAUCAUUGAAGCGCAAACUGUGAACGUGAUACCUACCCAGAAAGCUGUAAACAGCAGAGCCGGUGAGAAAUACUCGAAGUUUCAGUAACAGUGUCUUUGGGUCCUAGCGGCCACCUGUGGAGAGAGAACAGGACGAGAGUGAAUCAUCGAAGAGCAAACUGUGAACGUGAUACCUACCCAGAGAGCUGUAAGCAGCAGAACCGGUGAGCAAUACCCGAAGUCCAAGUAACAGUGUCAUUUGUGUCCUAGUGGCCGCCUGUGGAGAGCAAGGAGAAACAAUUGGAGAACAGACUGUGUAACGUGAUACCUACCCAGAGAGCUGCAAGCAGCAGAGCCGGUGAGAAACACCUCAAGUGCAAACUAACAGUGCUUUUGUGUCGCAGUGACUAUCUGUGGGGCACAAGGCGAACGUGGGCGGACGUACGACAGGGAACGUAAGGGCACGUGGGGCGAGGACCCCCUGCCGACCCGAGGAAAGAUACACCGACAGUGGAGAUCCUCCUUACCAGUCACACCAAAAUUAUUCUGCCUCCAGGACGGAAGAAGGAGGGCGUCACGGUUAGCAGGGUCCAGGCCGGAGCCUGACGUUUCCCUUUCUCCCCCGGCUUAUGGUGGUUGGCACCCCUGUUGCCCUUGGCCUGUCUGCCCGUGGCUGCAGUCUCCCUGGAGGGAGACGAAGAGACCUAUUAGUUUUAAAUUCCCCUUUUCCCCCAAAUUCCCAGUUC
Paramisgurnus dabryanus is the source of this 2160-nucleotide long non-coding RNA. RefSeq lists it as uncharacterized. The record is from RefSeq and is a predicted model, not a curated record. NCBI's taxonomy places the organism in Eukaryota, Metazoa, Chordata, Actinopteri, Cypriniformes, Cobitidae.